This 24-nucleotide non-coding RNA is filed under the name Arabidopsis thaliana (thale cress). Lineage: Eukaryota; Viridiplantae; Streptophyta; Magnoliopsida; Brassicales; Brassicaceae. The record is from RNAcentral.
UCCAUUCCUGUAUCUCCUCCGUCA